Molecule: long non-coding RNA, 770 nt
Filed under: Rattus norvegicus (Norway rat)
Lineage: Eukaryota; Metazoa; Chordata; Mammalia; Rodentia; Muridae
Description: long non-coding RNA NONRATT003202
Source: RNAcentral
GUCUUCUGAUAAAGCUUUUGUGGCCAUAAAGCAAGAGUUCCACUUGGCAGAUCUUCUUCAGGAUGAGGAUCAGGGUGUGGUCUCCAGGUAGAAGAGAAAAUUCCUUCCAGAUGAACCAGUAGUGCUGAGAGCUGGUGUUUUUUCAGGGUCCUGUCUAUAGCAAGAUGCUCUCUUGGUGUAGGACUUGUGUUUCUUUUACCUACAGAAGAAACUAAGAUCACACCUUCAAUGAAGUUUCACAGUGAUUCAGAAUGGGAGAAAACCCUGGAGGAGAAAGGUGGUGUCCGUUUGGCCACCCUCUUCCAGCUCUAGUAGGAUCACCUGAGCUAUCUAGCCUGAGGGUGGGGGUGGGGCAGAGGUGUUCAGGUUUUGAGUUUUUUCCCAGAGCUCCAGAUCUAAACCUCACUAUUAAGUUAGAUCUCACUGGUCCCACCUUUGCAGGAGCUGAAUUUCAGCACCUUGACAGUUUGCUAAGGGGUCGGGGUAGGCUUCAUCUUGUAACUAAUUCAAGAGCUUUUUUGGGACCUACACCUGAGAGCAGGGCACCAUGGGCUUCUGCCUAAUUACUCAGCACCAAUGCCAGCGCCACCUCCUGCGACGGCUGUCCCACUACAGAAACUAGGAACUAAGUGGGGGAAUAGACAUGGUGCAAAUGACUUCCUGGGUUCUAAAAGGAUUUGGUUUGGAAAGUGCCCGAGUGCUUACAACCAGAAGCAGGACUCAGGGAGAAAAAGAUUUAAAAAAAAAUAAAUGGUCUCAUGUUGUAUCGC